This 301-nucleotide ribosomal RNA is filed under the name uncultured bacterium. Its description in RNAcentral is "partial 16S ribosomal RNA". It matches the Rfam family "Archaeal small subunit ribosomal RNA", at positions 459 to 760 of the family's 1478-position model. The record is from RNAcentral.
CAGUCGCCGCGGGAAUACCAGCACCUCGAGUGGUCAGGAGGUUUAUUGGGCCUAAAGCAUCCGUAGCCGGUUGCAUAAGUUUUCGGUUAAAUCUAUGCGCUUAACGUAUAGGCCGCCGAAAAUACUGUGCAGCUAGGGAGUGGGAGAGGUACACGGUACUCGAUAGGAAGGGGUAAAAUCCUUUGAUCUAUUGAUGACCACCUGUGGCGAAGGCGGUGUACCAGAACACGUUCGACGGUGAGGGAUGAAAGCUGGGGGAGCAAACCGGAUUAGAUACCCGCGUAGUCCCUGUCUCUUAUAC